GGUCUUAUAGUUUAAAGAAAAUAUUAGACUGCAAUUCUAAAGUUAUGUUUUAUUAAGACUU
RNAcentral lists this transfer RNA (61 nucleotides) under Vietnamella sinensis. Its description in RNAcentral is "tRNA-Cys". It matches the Rfam family "tRNA". From Rfam's summary of the family: Transfer RNA (tRNA) molecules are approximately 80 nucleotides in length. Their secondary structure includes four short double-helical elements and three loops (D, anti-codon, and T loops). Further hydrogen bonds mediate the characteristic L-shaped molecular structure. tRNAs have two regions of fundamental functional importance: the anti-codon, which is responsible for specific mRNA codon recognition, and the 3' end, to which the tRNAs corresponding amino acid is attached (by aminoacyl-tRNA synthetases). tRNAs cope with the degeneracy of the genetic code in two manners: having more than one tRNA (with a specific anti-codon) for a particular amino acid; and 'wobble' base-pairing, i.e. permitting non-standard base-pairing at the 3rd anti-codon position. Lineage: Eukaryota; Metazoa; Arthropoda; Insecta; Ephemeroptera; Ephemerellidae. The record is from RNAcentral.